RNAcentral lists this long non-coding RNA (2207 nucleotides) under Gouania willdenowi (blunt-snouted clingfish). RNAcentral describes it as "lncRNA (ENSGWIG00000008084.1)". The record is from RNAcentral. Lineage: Eukaryota; Metazoa; Chordata; Actinopteri; Blenniiformes; Gobiesocidae.
GUGACGUGUUUCCGGUCCGCGGUUAUUGAGUUCCUUAACACAGACGAGGCUAAAUGUAGCGUCGUUUAUCGAUAAUUAGGUGGAUCACCACAUAAUACACGCAUUAGGUUCAAUGCUUAGGUAAUUAGACGUUUGGAAGAGACGUUUGCGGUACAUUUUAGAGAUACUUUUGGUGUCCAAGGUGCAUCCUCAUCCUGUUAGCUUGUUCAAGCAGCGCGAGCGGCUAACGGUCGCGCCACAUUUCUGAGUCGGAUCAGAUAACUCAGUUUAUAUUGACUUUUGGGUGUUAUAGAAGGAAUUCUGGAUCUAUCGGCAUUUGCACCUGAACUCACCAUAAGGGUGUAAGAGCCACAUCAGCCACACGGUCAUUUCCAUCAUCAGAUAUUACAACAUUGCUCCUCAUCAUCUCCAGACAUGGAAAUCGACCAGCUGGCCAGAGGUUUCCGGACACGGCUGACCACGACCUUUGACGGCGUUUUAAGGAAAGCUUUGCUAGACGUGAUGGACGUUUUUGAAAGCACCAUGCAAGACUUUAAAAUACUGAUGCAGCAGAAAGAGGCACAGAUUCAAAAACUCCAGGGGAAGCUGGUGGUAGCGGAGCUGAAACAAAAAAAGCACGUGUGUAGAAGUGACAGAAGACCAAAGACUGAGAACGAUACAGCAAAGGUUCAGGCAGUGAAGCCGGUGUCAUCGUCUGGUAAAGAACCCGAUGACUGGUGCGCUCCUUUAGGAUUUGAAACUACCCCCAAGAAGAAGGAAGAGUUUGGAUGUCCCAGCGUUCGACUGCGGCCGUUGAUCAUCUCUGUGCCCAACAUCCCAAUUUUCAGGAAUGAGAUUGUCAACUGUGACCUUGACUUUUAUUUGAAAUCCAGGAAACGGAGGGUGUCAAAAAGACUUUCUGCUUUAAAAGAAGGGACAAAUCCUAUUUUGAGCAGAAGAUUAUCUCCACGUCAACAUCCAAUAAUCCCCAUUAAACAGGAAACUUCUGACCAAACCAAUUGUAAAAUCCAGAAAAGAAGUGAGCAAAUCUUGAUGGGAAACGUAACUCAGCAUAGAAAGAAUCCCAAUGACAAAGUAACGAAGAGAUCGGCUAAAAAAAAGAAGCGUAGAAGAGUUUGUCAGAAAGUUUUUAUUUCAGAAAACGAGCGAAACAUGCACGUGCUCUUUCAUCACUGCUGCAUCGGCUGCAGAACAGUCUACCAAAAACGAGGAAGUCUCCUUCGUCACAAAUCAACCUGUGAAAAACUCAACAGAGGCCUGGCAAAAACACCCGUUUCUACCGAGACCCAAACCACAAUCAAAACAGAAAACGCGCCGUUUCUCAUCAGCAGCAUGGAUCCAGACACCAUAAGGAGCACAUUUGCAAAAAGUGCAAGAGUCAGCAUUAGCGGAACAAUGCAAGUGAUGAAGAAUUUGUGAAUAUAAACGACCAGAGCAAGAACCUGUGGACACACAGCACAAUGUUCUUCUGUAUAUUAUAACUUUUACACAUUUCUUUAUAGUUAUCGUCUGUGUAGAACUAACACUUGAAGUGAAGAGACCCCCUCUGAAAAGGAUUUAUAGGGGGAGUUUGUUUCUACAUCCUGCAAACUUUCACGUGGACAGGAUGACCCACCCCUUUCAGGGAGACCCCUGUUGUGGGAGGGUGUCACUGUCCAGAUUGUCCUCGUGACUUUUUUAACAACAAGUUCCCUCCAAAAAUAAGGACAUAGGAAAGUGGAUACAAUGCAUGACAUCACCAAAAAGAACAAUAUAUUAAUGAUCUAUGUUCAAUUUAUUAUUAUUAUUUUAUAAUCACCUAGAUUUCUUUUUCAGGUAAAAUCUCUCAGCCAAAAGGCCAUUUUAGUUGUUGUUGUUGUCCAAAAUGUCUAGAAACCUCACUAAUGUUAGUUUAAGGUAACUGCUGUUUGAACUUUUUCAUAAGAACAUUUACCAGUAAAACUCACCAACCAGUUCUGACAAAUACUGUACAUACUUAUAAGCCAUGUUUGGUAUCAAAAUGACCGAUAAGUCAUGAUAUUUUAGGUUCUCUUAUUGAAAAUGUUUAGUUUAUUUGUUUAUUUGAGCAGUUAAAGUACCGCUCAAAAGGAGUGGGCUGAAGCAAGAGCUUAUUAGCGCCGACCCCCGAGAUCAUUACAAUGAAAACAACAUAUCACACAGUACAAGGGAACAAAUUACAAGGAAUAAAGUACAAGAGCAUAGGAACA